RNAcentral lists this long non-coding RNA (2628 nucleotides) under Salmo trutta (river trout). Its description in RNAcentral is "lncRNA (ENSSTUG00000002566.1)". The record is from RNAcentral. Lineage: Eukaryota; Metazoa; Chordata; Actinopteri; Salmoniformes; Salmonidae.
UGUAGUGUUUCUACCUAAUGUUAGAUAAUAGCUGGUGUCCACAUACUUUUGGUCAUGUAGUGUAUAAAUCUCAUGAUUCAAUGAUUAUUUAAUUAUCACUAUCUUUAUUUAAUUUUUACACCAGAUGGACUACAAGGACAGCUGAGUAAGUAGUCUGUCUCUGUGUGUGUGUGUGUGUGUGUGUGUGUGUGUGUGUGUGUGUGUGUGUGUGUGUGUGUGUGUGUGUGUGUGUGUGUGUUCACAUGCGUCUGUCUGCAUUGUCAUGUUUUUAAGGUUUGCUCACCAACAUGUGUGUUCUGACUAUCUGUUCUUGUCCUCAGGGGAAGCUAAAGAGACCAUCCAAUCCCUCUCCAGAUGGUCAACAGAAAACACAGACUCCUUCCCAAAAGUCUGAGGGGAUUGAAGGGAUGGAGAUGGAGUCUUUACCAGGGAGGAAGUCUGGUCCUGGUCCAGGGAGGAAGUCUGCUCCUGAGAUGAAGCCUUUACUGGCUGCUGGACCACAGAAGGAUGAUCUGGAUGAGCUGGAGAGGGGAGCAAGAGUUACUACAGAAUUGAACUAUGUGCUAUAGGGUUACUAUAGAGAGACUAUAACUUGAUAAUAGAGACCUAUCCCUCCUAACUAAGCUGAGUUUCUGAGUAUAUAACUGAGUGAUAUGAAUCUUGUUGAGACAGAGUCCUCUGAUCAACGUGUUGGUCACUACUCUAUAAUCCACUUCCAGUAGUUAGUUCUUUACUUUUUGAAGUUUUACUACCCAUGUUUGUAUUAUGGGUUUAUAUCCAUUUCCUGGUUAUUCUAUAUAUGUGUUCCCCAUAAACAAUGUCUUUCUAAUCCCCCUCAGGAAUUGAUAGUGUUGAAUUGAAUGGAAUGAUGGACUAAGGUCUCCUGUUAGAAUCUGUUACAGACCCUCUUAUGUCCAGUACCUGAUAAUCACAGGUAUAUCAACAGGACCACAGGAGGCUGGUGGCACCUUAAUUAGGGAGGAGGGGCUCGUGGUAAUGGCUGAAGUGGAAUCAGUGGAAUGGUAUCAAAUACAUCAAACAUGUGGUUUCCAUGGUUUCCAUGUUUGAUGCCGUUCCAUUGGCUCCGUUCCAGACGUUAUAAUGAGGCUCCUCCCCUCAGCAGCCUCCUGUGAACAAGACUGAUAAAACCAUUUGUUGAAAUGUUUAUAUUUCUGUUUUAGCUUCAACCUGUCAGCUUCUAUUGUAGCUUCAACCUGUCAGCUUCUAUUGUAGCUUCAACCUGUCAGCUUCUAUUGUAGCUUCAUUUUGUUAUUGAAGUGUUUCGAUUUUAGCUUCAACAUGUCAAUGUGCCUGUUUAUAUUUCACUUUUUAAGUGUAUUUUAAAAUAGUGACCUAUUGUGUGCUCAAAAUAAAUUAUAGUAUAUUAUUAUAAACUAAUUAUAUUAUUUUAAACUAAUACAAUUGCUCAGAGAAUUAUUAUUUUUUGUAAUGUAUUUUUUUGUAAAGAUAGGGGUCAAAAUGACAGCCAAAAAUCUCCAGGAGUUUGAUGAUGUCAUUACUAUGAAUAUAGAACCAAAUACUGACCUUCUGACUACUUUAAUUACUAGAAUCAAUAUGGGGUCAAUAAUUUAGACCUUUAGAAUCUAUAGGGGGUCAAUAAUUUAGACCUUUAGAAUCUAUAGGGGGGUCAAUAAUUUAUACCUUUAGAAUCUAUAGGGGGGUCAAUAAUUUAGACCUUUAGAAUCUAUAGGGGGGUCAAUAAAUUAGACCUUUAGAAUCUAUAGGGGGGUCAAUAAUUUAGACCUUUAGAAUCUAUAGGGGGUCAAUAAUUUAUACCUUUAGAAUCUAUAGGGGGGUCAAUAAUUUAGACCUUUAGAAUCUAUAGGGGGGUCAAUAAAUUAGACCUUUAGAAUCUAUAGGGGGGUCAAUAAUUUAUACCUUUAGAAUCUAUAGGGGGGUCAAUAAUUUAGACCUUUAGAAUCUAUAGGGGGGUCAAUAAUUUAUACCUUUAGAAUCUAUAUGGGGUCAAUAAUUUAGACCUUUAGAAUCUAUAGGGGGUCAAUAUUUUAGACCUUUAGAAUCUAUAGGGGGGUCAAUAAUUAAUUUAUAUUAUUAAUAAUUUAGAAAAUAAAUAUUACUUGUUAAACAAAAUAUUUUAAUCAGAUCAAUCGUAUUAAUAUAAAAUAAUAUAAUUGACACAUGUUGUUGAGCAGAUGAUAGAGCUCAGUAUUUAAAUUAUUUAUUUAUACAGUCAUUAUCUUUAUCAGGGGUGUCAAUAAUUCCAUACCAACUGUAUAUUAUAUAUUGAUGUAUUUUAUACAGUCAUUAUCUUUAUCAAGGGUGUCAAUAAUUCCAUACCCACUGUAUAUUAUAUAUUGAUGUAUUUUAUACAGUCAUUAUUAUCUUUAUCAAGGGUGUCAAUAAUUCCAGACCCACUGUAUAUUAUAUAUUGAUGCAUUUUAUACAGUCAUUAUUAUCUUUAUCAAGGGUGUCAAUAAUUCCAGACCCACUGUAUAUUAUAUAUUGAUCAUGUAUAUGCAGUUGAAUGGUAUUUUCCAUGUAUUGAUGAUUUCUUGAUUUUAAUAAACUAGGACAUCGUUGUGUGAGAACGUGACUCCAGUGUAAUAUUUUAACAUUAUUGAAUGUCAGUAGGUAGUGUUACCUUAC